Long non-coding RNA from Gopherus evgoodei (Goodes thornscrub tortoise), 956 nucleotides. RefSeq lists it as uncharacterized. NCBI's taxonomy places the organism in Eukaryota, Metazoa, Chordata, Testudines, Testudinidae. The record is from RefSeq and is a predicted model, not a curated record. The transcript has 5 exons.
GUCUAUUUCACCUACAGAAGUUGGCCUAGUAAAAGAUAUUACCUCACCCAUGGGUACUAUGGGCUUGAUUCUGCAAGAUGUCGAGCACUCUGGCCCAGGUCCAGCAAAACAUUUAAGGAUGUGUUUAAGCAUAUGAGUCUGGUAGGUGCAUGGCUAUGGAAAUUAGAUGAUGUAAUGUUAAUACAGAAAUAACGAUGCUAUUUCCUGGGUUAGAAUUCUGAACAUGCUCCGUGCCAACGAGGUAUUUCCAGAAGCCUGAGGAGACUGAAGAUGAGCUGAGCCCUCAUGCCAUUAAUAAAAACGCUGUCUUCUCUCCAAGCAGCCUGACUCCUGAGUUCUUACUAAAUAUUACAUGGCAUCAGAAGUUGCACUGAAUCAAGGAUGGAGCAACUGCUUCCCCUAUGGACCAGACAAUACCAAGGUCUCAAUGUCAGGCGGAAGGUAAAUGAGCCCCAGAACAUCUGAAAGGUUGCUAAUGAUGAUGACUACCCUGUCAAAUCUUUGUAUGGGGGAUCUGCACAUCCUGUUUACGUGCUCACACUCAGAAGAGCACAGGCUGAUUGCCAGGUUGUCUAAAUUCAGUGAUACUUGGCUUUUUGCUCUUCCCUUGUCUAAGCCACUGGUGAGUGGGUGCUACAGGUUCCCGUCUGUGCUGAUCUGCAGAAGACAAGAGUUUUUGCAGCCACAAGCUGAAGGAGCAGAGCAGAGCUACAAUGUAGGAUAGUGCUCAGUCAGAUCUAUCAAAGAGACCAUAUGGCAUCCCGAAGCUACAGUAUCAGGACCAUGCAUGCUACAAUAGCUUCUGGGAAAACAUGUCUUUUUAUGACAUGCUGCAAGCAAACACUGAUUCUCCAAAGGGACUUCUCUGAUAAUAAAGAUGGGAAGAGGAGGAGGAGGAGGAAGAUGAAAAAACAACGCCAGAUGCUUGAAUUGUGUUAAUUGUGUUAAUUACAUCA